GUGAGGAAUAUUGGUCAAUGGGCGGGAGCCUGAACCAGCCAAGUCGCGUGAAGGAAGAAGGAUCUAUGGUUCGUAAACUUCUUUUGCAGGGGAAUAAAGUGCAGGACGUGUCCUGUUUUGUAUGUACCCUGAGAAUAAGGAUCGGCUAACUCCGUGCCAGCAGCCGCGGUAAUACGGAGGAUCCGAGCGUUAUCCGGAUUUAUUGGGUUUAAAGGGUGCUUAGGUGGUUUGAUAAGUCAGCGGUGAAAGUUUGCAGCUUAACUGUAAAAAUGCCGUUGAAACUGUCGGACUUGAGUGUAAAUGAGGUAGGCGGAAUGCGUGGUGUAGCGGUGAAAUGCAUAGAUAUCACGCAGAACUCCGAUUGCGAAGGCAGCUUACUAAGCUACAACUGACACUGAAGCACGAAAGCGUGGGGAUCAAACAGGAUUAGAAACCCUAGUAGUCC
RNAcentral lists this ribosomal RNA (445 nucleotides) under uncultured bacterium. Its description in RNAcentral is "partial 16S ribosomal RNA". It matches the Rfam family "Bacterial small subunit ribosomal RNA", at positions 354 to 796 of the family's 1533-position model. The record is from RNAcentral.